Molecule: ribosomal RNA, 520 nt
Filed under: uncultured Diversispora
Lineage: Eukaryota; Fungi; Glomeromycota; Glomeromycetes; Diversisporales; Diversisporaceae
Description: SSU rRNA
Rfam family: Eukaryotic small subunit ribosomal RNA
Source: RNAcentral
AGCAGCCGCGGUAAUUCCAGCUCCAAUAGCGUAUAUUAAAGUUGUUGCAGUUAAAAAGCUCGUAGUUGAACUUCGAAAUUUGUUCAUUGGUCAGGCUUAACUGUUUGUACUGGUGUUACGAAUUUCUACCUUCUGAGGAAUCCUUAUGCCAUUAAUUUGGUGUUGGGGGGAAUCAGGACUGUUACUUUGAAAAAAUUAGAGUGUUUAAAGCAGGCUAACGUCUGAAUACAUUAGCAUGGAAUAAUAAAAUAGGACGGUAUGGUUCUAUUUUGUUGGUUUCUAGGACCACCGUAAUGAUUAAUAGGGAUAGUUGGGGGCAUUAGUAUUCAAUUGUCAGAGGUGAAAUUCUUGGAUUUAUUGAAGACUAACUACUGCGAAAGCAUUUGCCAAGGAUGUUUUCAUUAAUCAAGAACGAAAGUUAGGGGAUCGAAGACGAUCAGAUACCGUCGUAGUCUUAACCAUAAACUAUGCCGACUAGGGAUCGGAUGAUGUAAUUUUUAAUGACUCAUUCGGCGCCUUA